RNAcentral lists this ribosomal RNA (486 nucleotides) under uncultured bacterium. RNAcentral's name for it is "bacterial SSU rRNA". It matches the Rfam family "Bacterial small subunit ribosomal RNA", at positions 28 to 507 of the family's 1533-position model. The record is from RNAcentral.
GAUGAACGCUAGCGGGAGGCUUAACACAUGCAAGUCGAGGGGCAGCAUAGGGUAGCAAUACUCUGAUGGCGACCGGCAAACGGGUGAGUAACGCGUAUGUAACCUACCCUGUACAGGGGGAUAACCCGGAGAAAUUCGGACUAAUAUCCCAUAACAAUAUCCGGGGGCAUCUUUGGAUAUUUAAAGUUCCGGCGGUACGGGAUGGGCAUGCGUAACAUUAGCUAGUUGGUAAGGUAACGGCUUACCAAGGCUUUGAUGUUUAGGGGUCCUGAGAGGGUGGUCCCCACACUGGUACUGAGACACGGACCAGACUCCUACGGGAGGCAGCAGUGAGGAAUAUUGGUCAAUGGGCGCAAGCCUGAACCAGCCAUCCCGCGUGCAGGAAGACGGCGCUAUGCGUUGUAAACUGCUUUUCCAGGGAGAGAAACUUGCGCACGUGUUGCGCAAUUGACGGUACCCUGGGAAUAAGCAUCGGCUAACUCCGUG